UCCACUUAGACAUCUGUUAUCUCAGCCUGGC
This 31-nucleotide non-coding RNA is filed under the name Mus musculus (house mouse). The record is from RNAcentral. Lineage: Eukaryota; Metazoa; Chordata; Mammalia; Rodentia; Muridae.